Molecule: ribosomal RNA, 328 nt
Filed under: uncultured Owenweeksia sp.
Lineage: Bacteria; Pseudomonadati; Bacteroidota; Flavobacteriia; Flavobacteriales; Owenweeksiaceae
Description: bacterial SSU rRNA
Rfam family: Bacterial small subunit ribosomal RNA
Source: RNAcentral
UGCGUAGGCGGAAUGAUAAGUCAGUGGUGAAAGCCCUCAGCUUAACUGAGGAACUGCCAUUGAUACUGUCAAUCUUGAGUACAUUUGAUGUGGGCGGAAUGUGUCAUGUAGCGGUGAAAUGCUUAGAUAUGACACAGAACACCGAUUGCGAAGGCAGCUCACAAAACUGUAACUGACGCUGAGGCACGAAAGCGUGGGUAUCAAACAGGAUUAGAUACCCUGGUAGUCCACGCUGUAAACUAUGAUUACUCGAUGUUUGCGAUACACUGUAAGCGUCUAAGCGAAAGCGAUAAGUAAUCCACCUGGGGAGUACGCUCGCAAGAGUGAA